UGUUGCUUAAUAAUAAAGGAGACUACAUAGUGCCCAACUAUAUGCUAAUCUAGUUCAUGGUAUUGUUUCAGAAGGUUCCACACUUGAGAUGGCCUUCUAGGAGAAGGUACACUUGAGAUGGCCCUCUAAAAGAAGGUAACUUUAGAGAGGUCCAACAUGCUAGUCUCCAAUGAGUAGACCUCAAACCUAUAGUAGGAGUGAGGAGUCACCAAUGCCA
Molecule: long non-coding RNA, 217 nt
Filed under: Elaeis guineensis (African oil palm)
Lineage: Eukaryota; Viridiplantae; Streptophyta; Magnoliopsida; Arecales; Arecaceae
Description: long non-coding RNA (EGUI_LNC020089)
Source: RNAcentral